CCUACGGGGGGCAGCAGUGGGGAAUAUUGGACAAUGGGGGGAACCCUGAUCCAGCCAUGCCGCGUGUGUGAAGAAGGCCCUCGGGUUGUAAAGCACUUUCAGUGAGGAAGAACGCCUGGUGGUUAAUACCCAUCAGGAAAGACAUCACUCACAGAAGAAGCACCGGCUAACUCCGUGCCAGCAGCCGCGGUAAUACGGAGGGUGCGAGCGUUAAUCGGAAUUACUGGGCGUAAAGCGCGCGUAGGUGGCUUGAUAAGCCGGUUGUGAAAGCCCCGGGCUCAACCUGGGAACGGCAUCCUGAACUGUCAAGCUAGAGUGCAGGAGAGGAAGGUAGAAUUCCCGGUGUAGCGGUGAAAUGCGUAGAGAUCGGGAGGAAUACCAGUGGCGAAGGCGGCCUUCUGGACUGACACUGACACUGAGGUGCGAAAGCGUGGGUAGCAAACAGGAUUAGAUACCCCGGUAGUC
This 465-nucleotide ribosomal RNA is filed under the name Vreelandella stevensii. RNAcentral describes it as "partial 16S ribosomal RNA". It matches the Rfam family "Bacterial small subunit ribosomal RNA", at positions 338 to 795 of the family's 1533-position model. The record is from RNAcentral. Lineage: Bacteria; Pseudomonadati; Pseudomonadota; Gammaproteobacteria; Oceanospirillales; Halomonadaceae.